This is a long non-coding RNA of Gadus macrocephalus (Pacific cod), 406 nucleotides long. RefSeq lists it as uncharacterized. The transcript is spliced from 3 exons. NCBI's taxonomy places the organism in Eukaryota, Metazoa, Chordata, Actinopteri, Gadiformes, Gadidae. The record is from RefSeq and is a predicted model, not a curated record.
AGGCUAUAUUAUGGAGAAACUAAUGUUUGAUCAAUUGAGGGAGUUUCUCAUCAAUGAAGAGUUUCCCAAAGAAUUGGACAAGAAACAGCGCUGGACAUUUCGACGACGAGCCUCCAACUUUUUGAUCGAUGACGGCGAAUUGUUUUAUGUCAGACGUAGGGGCUCGGACAAGGAGGAAAAGGUGAAAGUGGUCUGUGGGGCAGCUGAGGCCGACGCCUUAUUUAAAGAAUUUCACUGCAGUGACAUUGGUGCACACUGCGGCCAAAUUCGUACCAGGAGUGUGAUAUCACAGAGGUUCUACUGGCCUGGCAUGUCCACCGACAUUGAGAAUUGGGUAUCACAAUGCACUGUGUGUCAGCAAAGUCGACAUGACCUCAAGCUUGCCACAGAGUAUAUACCAAUAAAG